AUUGAACGCUGGCGGAAUGCUUUACACAUGCAAGUCGAACGGCAGCACGGGUGCUUGCACCUGGUGGCGAGUGGCGAACGGGUGAGUAAUACAUCGGAACGUGCCCAGUCGUGGGGGGAUAACACAGCGAAAGCUGUGCUAAUACCGCAUACGCACUAAGGUGGAAAGUGGGGGAUCUUCGGACCUCAUGCUCAUGGAGUGGCCGAUAUCUGAUUAGCUAGUUGGUGAGGUAAAGGCUCACCAAGGCGGCGAUCAGUAGCUGGUUUGAGAGAACGACCAGCCACACUGGAACUGAGACACGGUCCAGACUCCUACGGGAGGCAGCAGUGGGGAAUUUUGGACAAUGGGCGCAAGCCUGAUCCAGCCAUGCCGCGUGUGUGAAGAAGGCCUCGG
Molecule: ribosomal RNA, 393 nt
Filed under: uncultured bacterium
Lineage: Bacteria
Description: bacterial SSU rRNA
Rfam family: Bacterial small subunit ribosomal RNA
Source: RNAcentral